RNAcentral lists this ribosomal RNA (468 nucleotides) under uncultured bacterium. RNAcentral's name for it is "partial 16S ribosomal RNA". It matches the Rfam family "Bacterial small subunit ribosomal RNA", at positions 28 to 507 of the family's 1533-position model. The record is from RNAcentral.
GACGAACGCUGGCGGCGUGCCUAACACAUGCAAGUCGAACGGAAAGGCGCUGCUCUUGUGGGGCGCUCGUGUGGCGAACGGGUGAGUAACACGCGAGUAACCUGUCCCUGACUUUGGGAUAACACUUGGAAACAGGGGCUAAUAUCGGAUAGGAGCUUUUGCUGCACGGUGGGGGUUGGAAAGAUUCGGUGGUUGGGGAUGGACUCGCGGCUUAUCAGCUUGUUGGUGGGGUAGUGGAUUACCAAGGCUUUGACGGAUAGCCGGCCUGGGAGGGUGGCCGGCCACAUUGGGACUGAGGUACGGCCCAGACUCGUACGGGAGGCAGCAGUGGGGAAUAUUGCACAAUAGGCGGGAGCCUGAUGCGGCAGCGCCGCGUGCGGAAUGACGGCCUACGGGUUGUAAACCGCUUUCGCCUGAGACGAAGCGUGAGUGACGGUAAUGGGUAAAGAAGCACCGGCUAACUACGUG